GAUGAAGAACGUAGCGAAAUGCGAUACGUAAUGUGAAUUGCAAAUUCAGUGAAUCAUCGAGUCUUUGAACGCACAUUGCGCCCUCUGGUAUUCCGGAGGGCAUGCCUGUCCGAGCGUCAUUUCAACCCCCCUCAAGCCCGGCUUGUGUGUUGAGCGGCGGUCCCCCUUCAUCGGGGGGCCGGCUCCAAACGCAGUGGCAGCGCCGCUAUACAAGGGUGACUGAGCACAUGGGAAAAGGAUACUCUUCCGAAUCUUUGUGUUUGUUAAAAAGUCCCCGGUGGCAGCUUGCCUUCCCGGUGAGGUAGGAGUCUCGGUACCGCUAACCCGGGCCCGGGAGGACUGCCCCUCCACUUUCUCAAAGGUUGACCUCGGAUCAGGUAGGGAUACCCGCUGAACUUAAGCAUAUCAAUAAGCGGAGGA
This 420-nucleotide unclassified non-coding RNA is filed under the name soil metagenome. Its description in RNAcentral is "partial contains 5.8S ribosomal RNA, internal transcribed spacer 2, and large subunit ribosomal RNA". The stretch from base 1 to 119 matches the Rfam family "5.8S ribosomal RNA", at positions 35 to 154 of the family's 154-position model. The record is from RNAcentral.